Molecule: long non-coding RNA, 1721 nt
Organism: Hylaeus volcanicus
Lineage: Eukaryota; Metazoa; Arthropoda; Insecta; Hymenoptera; Colletidae
Exons: 3
Source: RefSeq, a predicted model, not a curated record
UUGUUAUAAUGACUAUCUUGAUCAGUUUAAUUGUUGUCGCUAAUUUAUGAGUACUAUGCUGAUUCUCACUUUCAAAAAAAAUUAUUGUUGUCACGAUUAUUCGAAUCAACGUUAUUUUGUAAAUCUUAAAUCAAUUUUCUUUUUAUUGUUAUUAUUCUCCUCUAUACGAUAACCAUAUACUAAAUUGAUUUAUGGUAACAGUCAGUACCAAAAGUAAAUUUGUUUUCCUUUUACCAUUUUUCUAAGGGAGAGUUUAGAUUUAUACAAUGUUUAUUAUCAAUCUAUAGGUGCACUAUAGUUCGAAUUGAAAAGAAAUGAACAGCUCUACUUUAAUAAAUCUCUCAUUAAUUUAAAAUAUAAGUUAAAUACCUCUCCAUCUAUAUAUUUUAAAAGAUCUGUAAAAAAAAUUAUUGCCAAUGCAUAUAUUUUUAGUAUAACAUUACAUUUUUUCUACGCAGAUAAACGCUUAUGAAUGUUUUCAUUUACAAAAAAAAAAGAACUAUCCGAAGUCGAUGAGAAGAGUUAUAACAUGAACUAUUUUUUCAGUGGUCUUAAUUCGACUUAUUCGAUUAUUCCUUAAGGGGACUAAUGAAUGAAACAGAGUUUUGUCCUUGACUAAGCGACUUGAAUCGAUGAGGAAAGUUUUAUUAUGUUCGUUUCCAAUUCACAGAGUUUAGAAAAAAAACGAGAAAAUUUUUACGAAAGAUAGAAAAAACUAUUAUUAAAAAGAAGAACAAAACAAGUAGGAAUACAGCUCUAUGUUAACAGAGAUAAUUGGACAUUUGUUUCUAAGUUUCGAUAAAAUAUAGUUUACUAAGCUACAAAAAAAACUCAAUUUUAAUAUUAGUUAAUUAUUAAUUAGUAUCACAUGACGCUACCCCAGUUAUAGAAGUAUCUUUGCUGACUGAACAAAGUAAGGCUAAAUUUAUUUUUACGUUUGAAUAACGAAAGAAAAUAAUCAGUAAGCUUUCUGUUUAAAUUACACGUCAUUUAGUUCGUGUUGAUUGAUUUUUACGAAGUGGCGAUGUUUCUCCCACAAAAAAAUUUAGGCUUUCGAAAAACUAUAUCUGUAAAUUCUCAUAAAGUUUGACUUAGAUCAGAAAACUAACAAACGAUUAUUACCCUGAUUUGAUGUUAUUUAUUUCAACUUUCUCAGGUGACUUGUUGCGAAUUUUUUUCUUGCAUGCUAACAAAAAUCUUUUUACAAUUUAAUCUUAAGUACUUUGACUAUUGGUUCCAUUAAGCUUAAGAAAAUUUUAAAGAAUGAAGUGCUUUGAACUGUAAUGACAUGAAGCUUGUGUGCGGAAUUCAUCGUGAUACUUCACAUCUUACACAUGAAGAAAAGACUUAAUAAAAAAAGUAUGUUUGUGGUUCCCUGAAUUGUUGAUUAAUGAAAUUCUUAUCAAAAUACUUUUAUGCUAUUGAAAAAAAAGUUGAUCUCCAAUCUUUUUCAAAAGUAUUUCGUUUUCUCUCGGUUUUGAGCAAUGCUUACAUUCAUCUUAUCUUUGAAAUAAUAACUACACCAAAAAAGGAAAUUAUUAACGUUUAGUACACGUCACCUAAAGCUUGCUUCGUUGUUUUAUCACCCCAUCGCAAUAAAAAAAUUUUCAAAAAAAAAGUAGUUUUAGAUAAAAUUACAAUUGAAUAUACAAAUUUUUGAGAGAAUAUUAUACACAAUACGAUUACAAAAUUUGCUAAUGCUACUCUUUAACGAAAUCGUC